UUGUCCUGGUGGCCAGGCAAGGAAUACAUCCUCCUCCCUUCCCCUACUGGACUUUGAAGGUGAAUGCUGACUACGUUGACCCUCCAAUGGAAAAGGGAGUGGGGUUGGGGGUAUAGUUGGGGAAGGGCCAGUUCAGACUUGCUGGCUGUCAGGAAGGCCUGAGAAGAUGUGGUUGGUGCCCGGUGACUUCUUGAAUGUGAAAUGUACACCAUGCUAAAUUAAUGAGGCCUUCCAACAUGAACGGAUUCCCCCACCCUGUUCUAGACCUUACCCCCAGUAACAGCUGGCUCAUCACCAACAACAGAGCCUCAAGCUGUCGCCCUGGGUAGAGUACUGUGGCAUCACAGCUCACAGCAACCUCCAACUCCUUGGCUCAAGUGAUUCUCCUGCCUCCACCUCCCAAGUAGCUGGGACUAUGGGGGCCCACCACAACGCCCAGCUAUUUUUUGUUGCCACUGAAAGAACCAGACCAGCGUCAUCUUAAGAAGUUGUUCCACCCGUGGAAACGCUGGCAACAUUCACUUCCACCCACCUACAAAGGCCUUCCACAACUAGCUGUUAACCUCAGUAGAUAUUUCCACAGGGAUAAAGGAGAAACCGGCAACACGCAAUGGGGCUAGAAGUCUCGGAUGGACUCUUCAGCUCCCGGAACCUCAGUUUUCCUCUCUGUAAAAUGGG
Molecule: long non-coding RNA, 678 nt
Organism: Nycticebus coucang (slow loris)
Lineage: Eukaryota; Metazoa; Chordata; Mammalia; Primates; Lorisidae
Exons: 4
Source: RefSeq, a predicted model, not a curated record